This 275-nucleotide ribosomal RNA is filed under the name uncultured Cellulomonas sp. RNAcentral describes it as "partial 16S ribosomal RNA". It matches the Rfam family "Bacterial small subunit ribosomal RNA", at positions 1111 to 1382 of the family's 1533-position model. The record is from RNAcentral. Lineage: Bacteria; Bacillati; Actinomycetota; Actinomycetes; Micrococcales; Cellulomonadaceae.
UAUGUUGCCAGCGGGUCAUGCCGGGGACUCAUGGGAGACUGCCGGGGGUCAACUCGGGAGGAAGGUGGGGAUGACGUCAAAUCAUCAUGCCCCUUAUGUCUUGGGCUUCACGCAUGCUACAAUGGCCGGUACAAAGGGCUGCGAUACCGCGAGGUGGAGCGAAUCCCAGAAAGCCGGUCUCAGUUCGGAUUGGGGUCUGCAACUCGACCCCAUGAAGUCGGAGUCGCUAGUAAUCGCAGAUCAGCAACGCUGCGGUGAAUACGUUCCCGGGCCUU